RNAcentral lists this ribosomal RNA (263 nucleotides) under uncultured bacterium. Its description in RNAcentral is "partial 16S ribosomal RNA". It matches the Rfam family "Bacterial small subunit ribosomal RNA", at positions 90 to 353 of the family's 1533-position model. The record is from RNAcentral.
GGCGACCGGCGCACGGGUGAGUAACACGUAUCCAACCUGCCGAUGACUCGGGGAUAGCCUUUCGAAAGAAAGAUUAAUACCCGAUGGCAUAGUUCUUCCGCAUGGUAGAACUAUUAAAGAUUUCGGUCAUCGAUGGGGAUGCGUUCCAUUAGGUUGUUGGCGGGGUAACGGCCCACCAAGCCUUCGAUGGAUAGGGGUUCUGAGAGGAAGGUCCCCCACAUUGGAACUGAGACACGGUCCAAACUCCUACGGGAGGCAGCAUG